UCCAGACUCAUCCUGCCAUCAUGACCUUUUAUUGCCGUCACAUAUCACCAAACUAAGAGGAAGAGGCCAAAAGAACUGCUGGACACCAAUUCAGAGUUUUCCCACUCAGCAAUGUGGAUUUCCAUGUAAUCCUCAAAUCAAGGGGAAGGAAAGAACCAUUCCAAAAUGCCCUGCCAAUUCACAACUCUUCCUUGGCUCCCCUGGCCUCACCUCCUUUCUCUGGAUCCUCCCACCCUCCACUCUCUGCGUCGUUUGCCUGCAGUGUCUGUGACUCAUAGGCCUAU
Molecule: long non-coding RNA, 284 nt
Filed under: Homo sapiens (human)
Lineage: Eukaryota; Metazoa; Chordata; Mammalia; Primates; Hominidae
Description: HSALNT0101389
Source: RNAcentral